GCCCGGGUGGCGAAAUUGGUAGACGCGCUAGAUUCAGGUUCUAGUGUCGGUUACGACAUGCAGGUUCGAUUCCUGUCUCGGGCA
Molecule: transfer RNA, 84 nt
Filed under: Bacteroidota bacterium
Lineage: Bacteria; Pseudomonadati; Bacteroidota
Also listed under: 1 other name
Description: Bacteroidetes bacterium tRNA-Leu
Rfam family: tRNA
About the family: Transfer RNA (tRNA) molecules are approximately 80 nucleotides in length. Their secondary structure includes four short double-helical elements and three loops (D, anti-codon, and T loops). Further hydrogen bonds mediate the characteristic L-shaped molecular structure. tRNAs have two regions of fundamental functional importance: the anti-codon, which is responsible for specific mRNA codon recognition, and the 3' end, to which the tRNAs corresponding amino acid is attached (by aminoacyl-tRNA synthetases). tRNAs cope with the degeneracy of the genetic code in two manners: having more than one tRNA (with a specific anti-codon) for a particular amino acid; and 'wobble' base-pairing, i.e. permitting non-standard base-pairing at the 3rd anti-codon position.
Source: RNAcentral